GAUCCUGGCUCAGGAUGAACGCUAGCGGCAGGCCUAACACAUGCAAGUCGAGGGGUAGUUACUUUCGGGUAAUGAGACCGGCGCACGGGUGCGUAACGCGUAUGCAAUCUACCUUUUACAGGGGAAUAGCCCAGAGAAAUUUGGAUUAAUGCCCCAUAGUAUGUAUGAAUCGCAUGGUUUAUACAUUAAAGAUUUAUCGGUUAAAGAUGGGCAUGCGGCUGAUUAGGUAGUUGGUGAGGUAAUGGCUCACCAAGCCAACGAUCAGUAGGGGGUCUGAGAGGAUGUCCCCCCACACUGGUACUGAGACACGGGCCAGACUCCUACGGGAGGCAGCAGUAGGGAAUAUUGGGCAAUGGUCGCAAGACUGACCCAGCCAUGCCGCGUGCAGGAUGAAGGCCCUCUGGGUUGUAAACUGCUUUUAUCUGGGAAGAAAAAGUCCAUGCGUGGAAAAUUGCCGGUACCAGAUGAAUAAGCACCGGCUAACUCCGUG
Molecule: ribosomal RNA, 490 nt
Filed under: uncultured bacterium
Lineage: Bacteria
Description: bacterial SSU rRNA
Rfam family: Bacterial small subunit ribosomal RNA
Source: RNAcentral